RNAcentral lists this ribosomal RNA (274 nucleotides) under uncultured bacterium. Its description in RNAcentral is "partial 16S ribosomal RNA". It matches the Rfam family "Bacterial small subunit ribosomal RNA", at positions 524 to 796 of the family's 1533-position model. The record is from RNAcentral.
UACGUAGGGGGCGAGCGUUGUCCGGAUUCAUUGGGCGUAAAGAGCUCGUAGGCGGCUUGGCAAGUCGGGUGUGAAAACUCCAGGCUCAACCUGGAGACGCCACUCGAUACUGCCAUGGCUAGAGUCCGGUAGGGGACCACGGAAUUCCUGGUGUAGCGGUGAAAUGCGCAGAUAUCAGGAGGAACACCGGUGGCGAAGGCGGUGGUCUGGGCCGGAACUGACGCUGAGGAGCGAAAGCGUGGGUAGCAAACAGGAUUAGAAACCCUUGUAGUCC